AUUGAACGCUGGCGGCAUGCCUUACACAUGCAAGUCGAACGGCAGCACGGGGGCAACCCUGGUGGCGAGUGGCGAACGGGUGAGUAACACAUCGGAACGUGUCCUGUUGUGGGGGAUAACCAGUCGAAAGACUGGCUAAUACCGCAUGAGCUGGAGACAGGAAAGCGGGGGACCUGAAAGGGCCUCGUGCGAUUGGAGCGGCCGAUGUCCGAUUAGCUAGUUGGUGGGGAAAGGCCCACCAAGGCGACGAUCGGUAGCUGGUCUGAGAGGAUGAUCAGCCACACUGGGACUGAGACACGGCCCAGACUCCUACGGGAGGCAGCAGUGGGGAAUUUGGACAAUGGGGGCAACCCUGAUCCAGCCAUGCCGCGUGAGUGAAGAAGGCCUGGUGUAAGA
RNAcentral lists this ribosomal RNA (396 nucleotides) under uncultured bacterium. RNAcentral describes it as "bacterial SSU rRNA". It matches the Rfam family "Bacterial small subunit ribosomal RNA", at positions 29 to 430 of the family's 1533-position model. The record is from RNAcentral.